This is a non-coding RNA of Taeniopygia guttata (zebra finch), 1366 nucleotides long. The record is from RefSeq and is a predicted model, not a curated record. Lineage: Eukaryota; Metazoa; Chordata; Aves; Passeriformes; Estrildidae.
UCAAAAUUAUUUUUUAUGCGCUACAAUAGCACUGGUAAGCAACUGAUAUAAUUUGAUGCUUUUAUUUCUGUACAAGAGUGGUUUACUAAUUAUUUAUUCCAUGUUUUUAACACAAAUUUAUGUAUCAGUAAAAUAACAAAUUGAGCACAGGUCUGAAGAGUUCUAGGUUAUUCUCCUGACUUCUACUCCAUCCUUUCUUUCUCAUCUAAUUAGACUUGGAGAAGCAGACAAUAGAGAAAAGGUGGAAUGCCAGCUGGAAAGAACUGCUAAUGGCCUCUUGCCGUGGGAGCUGUCCUUUGUUAAGCUGUCUCCUGGGAUGGGCACUGAUUAGUGAAAGUCCUUGUGAACUGAGCCUGGUCUAUUCUUGAGAUGCAUCUAAAUCAAGAUAUGUGAACUUAAAUCAGAACCUGAGGGUCUCCAGAACAGAGAGUUGGGAAUUCGCUUCAUCAGUCCUUUUAAACUAACUCUAGGCUAUGGUUAUUAUCCACAGCUAAGAAUCCUGAGUUGAUUAUGAGGAAAAUACAACAAUCAAAAUCCUACUUAAUUUAAUAUACCUGAAGUUAGAUCAAGUUCCUUUGAUACCUCUCAGCAGAAGACCAGAGCACUUUCCAAUGUUGCACUUUGACUGCCUGGUGCUGGUGUCUCUGCAAAAGUAAAGCAAGAAAUCUCACCUAGAUGAAGGUCAAGUUAAUGUUCUCCUGGGAACAUGGCUGAGUCCCAAACAGAAGGCACUGUGCUGAUUCUACAGUGAGAGUUAUUGCUCCUGAAAUGUCGUGGAUGGUGAAGACGAGGCAGGGAAAUACACUUGCAUUUGAACUUCAGACAACAGCUCACAUUUUGCAAGGGAAGUUUUUAGAACAUGUUUUGUAUUUAUUCUAUUCUCUGUGGAAAAUACUGUAAGGAAAAAAUGUAACUUAUCUCCCUAGGUGAUUUCAGGUCUUAAUUCUGAUCUUUUUUCUUUAUUUUUCUUAAAGUCUGGAAGGAUUAACUUUAAGGGUUUAAUUUUUGUCUAAAGUCUUUCAAAUCAACUUGUAAGUCUGUGAAAUAACAACCACUGUUUUUUUUUUAAUUUUCUUUCCACUUUGUAAAAGCACGUUUUUUCUUACAUUCUUCUCUUUAGUAUAUACACCAUUAAUGUAGUCAAAUCAUCUCACUGGCUUUAAAGACUCCCUCACUGUCUUUACUAAACUUUAAGCAUCCCAGGUCCCAGCUGAAAAGAGUAUCCUCCAUUUGUUUUGUGUCUUUCUUUGUCCUAUUUCUGUCCUCUGUUUUCUCCCCAGAAAGCUCCAGGCUUGAUUCAAUUACCAUUUUCAGAACUGCUAGAAUUGAUGAAAUAUGAUAAUAAAAAUAGUAGAUUGCCAAUGCA